UUCAGAUAAAGAAUAUUGGAUUCCCUGUGAAAAACAAUUUGAAAAAGAUGCCCAAAUUCCAAACCUCACAGAACUGCUUGCUCAUGAACAGAGGAAACAAGCAUCAAUUUUGUGUCAUCAGAUGUGCUCUUUUGACAAGCUUCACAUGAUUUUGUACUCAUGGCAUACGGAACUGGGAGUAAAUGCACAGGUACUGAUAAAGCAAAUUAAAUGGCAAUAGAAACACUGACAUAGUAAUAAGGGCAUAUAUGUUUUCAGAACUUUAUUUUUUUUUCAAAACUGAAGUCCUUUCACCCACAGAAAUGCUAACAGGAUUUAAAAUAAUAUGGUAUCUUCCAUUAAAAGCAUAGCCUGCACUUCUGAAGUCACGGAUCAGUCAAGGAUACCUAACACUGAAGAUGAUGAACAGCAGUGAUGAACCAGAUACAUUUAUAGUUGUGGG
Taeniopygia guttata (zebra finch) is the source of this 442-nucleotide non-coding RNA. NCBI's taxonomy places the organism in Eukaryota, Metazoa, Chordata, Aves, Passeriformes, Estrildidae. The record is from RefSeq and is a predicted model, not a curated record.